AUGGAAGCGUUUCUUCUGAAGAUGUCAGAGGAGGAGGAUCCUGAUGUUCAGGAUAAGGUGUGGAUGAAUGAGGUCCGGGAGCUCUCCUAUGACAUGGAGGACUCCAUUGAUGACUUCAUGCAAAGUGUCGGCAGCAAAGAUACAAAGCCAGAUGGCUUCUUGGAGAAGAUGAAGAACUCAUUGGGAAAGAUGGGGAAGAUGAAGGCUCGUCGGCGAAUAGGCAACGAGAUAGGAGAUCUGAAGAAGCAAAUCAUCGAGGUGGCGGAGAGGAAUGCAAGGUACAAGGCCCAUGAGGCCUUCUCCAAGGCCAAGAAUACAACCAUUGAUCCUAGAGCUCUUGCUAUCUUUCAGCAUGCCUCCGAGCUUGUCGGAAUUGAUGAACCCAAGGCUGAGUUAAUUAAACUAUUGACUCAAGGUGUGUCAACACAAGAGAAAAUAAAGUUGGUAUCCAUAGUAGGAUCCGGUGGAAUGGGCAAGACAACUCUUGCAAAUCAAGUGUAUGAAGAUCUCAAAGGAGAAUUCCAAUGUCAGGCCUUCAUAUCUGUGUCUAGAAAUCCAGAGAUGAUGAAUAUCAUGAGAACUAUUUUUAGUGAAGUCAGUGGGAAAGAUUAUGCUAACACUGAAGCAGGUAGUA
Molecule: ribosomal RNA, 634 nt
Filed under: Triticum aestivum (bread wheat)
Lineage: Eukaryota; Viridiplantae; Streptophyta; Magnoliopsida; Poales; Poaceae
Description: partial small subunit ribosomal RNA
Source: RNAcentral